AUCUGCAAUACUGUACACGAAGAUCAAAAAUUAUCCGAUUAUGGAUGAGGUGAAACAUGAAAAAAAAAACUGAAGCCAUCAUGAAAAGUCCCAUCUUGAAGCACAUAUUAAGAAAAUGAAUUUUUCAUGCAGGGUUAAAUUUAAGUCGGGGGAAUAUUAACGAGGACGAAAGCUGCACUGACGCCUCAGGAGAAGACCGACGAGUCCCAUAGAAGCCAACUACAGCCGUGGAAAAGUUAUUGUUCGCGGAGCCCCGGUGGGGUUUAAAGUUCAGCUAGGCUAUUAGCAGGUAGUUAGCUUCGUAUCUGUACCCGUUGGUCCCCUCACAAUGGCAGCUGUGUGCCAGCCGCGACGUGCUUUGGUGGAAAUCCCUGCACCGCAGCCCAAAAUUGCAGCUCGAAUGAGGAGGUCCUACUUAGAAAUUCUGAGUGCACGUUUGGCUCCGUCUCCUCUUCCAAGAGGGAGAACCACAGCUCCAAAGCGUGUACAAUCAUUGGACUUGUCCAUCGGUGGAGUUUGGAGAGGAGGGAUGGAGGAGCAUUGUGAGAAGAUGGACGAGCCCCACACACCGCUCUCCAAACAGCAGCUUGUACAGCUGAUCAGAUCCCUGAUCUUAGUGGAACAGAGCCAAGAGCCAAGGAUCAUAGCGUCAGACCUGAAAUAUCUUCAGGAAGACCUGCAGCUAAAGAAGGCAAAUGUUUACAGGUCCAUACCUUAUUCACGGUUUGGCUCCAACAGGGAUGCUCACUGCUACAGGAAGGCCUAUCCUCAUCUAGUGGCAUUCAAAGUUUCGUGUCAGGAGUGGGGCCAAGUUCUGCUGAGGAACAAAGAGUGGGACGCUGCGUUGGAGCACUCGUUGAUGGCGUGGCGAUACACCAGCGAGUUGCCGCAGUGGGACACGGCGAACCACAACGCUCUCCGAGAACAGUGUUACAGCAUCCUGGCAGCUCACAGCCUCACCGCUCUGGAGCACUACCGCCCCGAACCCAACAGAGGACGCGAGCUGCUCAGAAGGUUGAAGAUGGCUCAGCUGCAUAGCCAGUCAGUUGUUCCCUGUAUUCAGGAGCUGCAGAGGAUUAUGGGAUGCUGUGAUGACUCAUCCAUGGAUACAAAAUGAUAGGAGAAUGCACCUCAACAGCUGGAUUCAUGGCAGUGAAAAGUGCGCUCAGUGAUUUAUGUGUGUUAAUGGGCCAAAAACAUUUUACAUGGUGGUGUUUGUUUGGAAAAACCACUCCAGUAUUCUUCCAAAGGGCACGGUCGCCAGUGCAAAAUUGCCAAAAGUGCCACACAAUGCGGGUUUGUAAAGGUGAUGAAAACCACCCUCUAAAUGGUUGGAAAUGCAAUAAAACCUCUUAUUUAUUCACGUGGCAUUUUAACAUCAACUGCAAAGUGUCAUGAAGAGGAGUGCAUUCAUUGGUUAAUGGAGCAUUCUGUUCAUACAUUACCUUGCAGGCUAUAAAAUAUGUUCCCUCAUUUCUAAGGAGCAUUCACACUCUGACAAAUGUUAUGGUCACUUGGUGCUGGCAGUGAUGUAAUGAAAAUAUUUGUAUGUUUUUAGAUCUUUGUAUAAUGUAGUCUGGAUUGAAAUGUAAAGAAUAUAAAAUGUCUCAUGUUGCUUUAUGGGUGUGUAUAUAUGUUACUGUUCACGAUACUUGAAGCUGUGGCCUUUUGUCUUCAACUAGUUAAGUUUUAUGUGUUGUAGAGAAUUGUCUGUCAUCGAUUGCACUGUUUGUCCUGAAAACUUGAAACUUGAUAAAAUAGGUUCCUAAUUUAAAUAAAUUCCUUACUUUGAACUGCA
Amphiprion ocellaris (clown anemonefish) is the source of this 1798-nucleotide long non-coding RNA. NCBI's taxonomy places the organism in Eukaryota, Metazoa, Chordata, Actinopteri, Pomacentridae. The record is from Ensembl.